CAAAGUUAAUAAGGGCGCACGGUGGAUGCCUUGGCACUAAGAGCCGAUGAAGGACGUGACUAACGACGAUAUUCUAGGGGGAGCAGUAAGUACGCAUUGAUCCCUAGGUCUCCGAAUGGGGAAACCCAGCUGCUACUAGCAGUUAUUCAUGAGUGAAUACAUAGCUCAUGUAAAGGUAACGCAGAGAACUGAAACAUCUAAGUACCUGCAGGAAGAGAAAGUAAAAACGAUUUCGUAAGUAGCGGCGAGCGAACGCGAAGAAGGGCAAACCAAGAAGCUUGCUUCUUGGGGUUGUAGGACUGCAACGUGGACUUAAGCAUUAUAGUCGAAUAACCUGGGAAGGUUAAUCAAAGAGGGUAAUAAUCCCGUAGACGAAAUAGCGCUUAUACCUAGCAGUAUCCUGAGUAGGGCUGGACACGCGAAAUCCAGUUUGAAUCCGGGAGGACCAUCUCCCAACCCUAAAUACUCCUUAGUGACCGAUAGUGAACCAGUACCGUGAGGGAAAGGUGAAAAGAACCCCGAGAGGGGAGUGAAAUAGCACCUGAAACCGUGUGCCUACAAGAAGUUCGAGCCCGUUAAUGGGUGAGAGCGUGCCUUUUGUAGAAUGAACCGGCGAGUUACGUUAUGAUGCGAGGUUAAGUUGAAGAGACGGAGCCGUAGGGAAACCGAGUCUGAAUAGGGCGACUUAGUAUCAUGAUGUAGACCCGAAACCUAGUGACCUAUCCAUGAGCAGGGUGAAGGUGUGGUAAGACGCACUGGAGGCCCGAACCAGGACACGUUGAAAAGUGUUUGGAUGACUUGUGGAUAGCGGAGAAAUUCCAAACGAACUGGGAGAUAGCUGGUUCUCUCCGAAAUAGCUUUAGGGCUAGCGUCGAAAUGUAAGUGUAUUGGAGGUAGAGCACUGUUUGGGUGAGGGGUCCGUCUAGGAUUACCAAUCUCAGAUAAACUCCGAAUGCUAAUACACAUGUUCGGCAGUCAGACUGCGAGUGCUAAGAUCCGUAGUCGAAAGGGAAACAGCCCAGACCACCAGCUAAGGUCCCAAAAUAUAUGUUAAGUGGAAAAGGAUGUGGGGUUGCACAGACAACUAGGAUGUUAGCUCAGAAGCAGCUAUCAUUCAAAGAGUGCGUAAUAGCUCACUAGUCGAGUGACCCUGCGCCGAAAAUGUACCGGGGCUAAACAUAUUACCGAAGCUUUGGAUUGAUAUUUUAUCAAUGGUAGGAGAGCGUUCUUAACCGCGAUGAAGGUAUACCGUGAGGAGUGCUGGAGCGUUAAGAAGUGAGAAUGCCGGUAUGAGUAGCGCAAGAUAAGUGAGAAUCUUAUCCACCGUAAGACUAAGGUUUCCAGGGGAAGGCUCGUCCGCCCUGGGUUAGUCGGGACCUAAGGCGAGGCCGAAAGGCGUAGUCGAUGGACAACUGGUUGAUAUUCCAGUACUAGAUAUGAUCGUGAUGGAGGGACGCAGUAGGCUAAGAGAUGCCAGUUAAUGGAUUCUGGUCUAAGCAGUGAGGUGUGAGAUGUGUCAAAUGCAUUUCUCUUUAACAUUGAGCUGUGAUGGGGAAGCAACUACGGUUGCGAACUCUCUGAUGUCACACUGCCAAGAAAAGCUUCUAGCGUAAAGUCAUAUCUACCCGUACCGCAAACCGACACAGGUAGUCGAGGCGAGUAGCCUCAGGUGAUCGAGAGAACUCUCGUUAAGGAACUCGGCAAAAUAGCCCCGUAACUUCGGGAGAAGGGGUGCUGGUGUAAAAGCCAGCCGCAGUGAAUAGGCCCAAGCAACUGUUUAUCAAAAACACAGCUCUCUGCUAACCGCAAGGUGAUGUAUAGGGGGUGACGCCUGCCCGGUGCUGGAAGGUUAAGAGGAGUGCUUAGACGUAAGUCGAAGGUAUGAAUUGAAGCCCCAGUAAACGGCGGCCGUAACUAUAACGGUCCUAAGGUAGCGAAAUUCCUUGUCGGGUAAGUUCCGACCCGCACGAAAGGCGUAAUGAUUUGGGCACUGUCUCAACGAGAGACUCGGUGAAAUUUUAGUACCUGUGAAGAUGCAGGUUACCCGCGACAGGACGGAAAGACCCCAUGGAGCUUUACUGU
RNAcentral lists this ribosomal RNA (2082 nucleotides) under human gut metagenome. Its description in RNAcentral is "bacterial LSU rRNA". It matches the Rfam family "Bacterial large subunit ribosomal RNA", at positions 1 to 2107 of the family's 2925-position model. The record is from RNAcentral.